Molecule: unclassified non-coding RNA, 284 nt
Filed under: plant metagenome
Description: partial contains small subunit ribosomal RNA, internal transcribed spacer 1, and 5.8S ribosomal RNA
Rfam family: Eukaryotic small subunit ribosomal RNA (bases 1-53)
Source: RNAcentral
GGAAGUAAAGUCGUAACAAGGUUUCCGUAGGUGAACCUGCGGAAGGACCAUUAUUGAAUAACCGAGGUGCGAGGGCUGUCGCUGACCCGAAAGGUCGUGCACGCCCGAGUGCCCUCACACACAUCCAUCUCACCCCUAUGUGCACCACCGCGUGGGUCCCCCUUUGGCUUGUUCGGAGGGGGGCUUACGUUUUCACACAAACUUUGUAUGCAGUGUAGAAUGUAUUUUUUGUUUUUGCGAUCACGCAAUCAAUACAACUUUCAACAACGGAUCUCUUGGCUCUC